GGAGGGAUGGCCGAGUGGACUAUGGCGCUUGUCUUGAAAACAAGUGUGGGGCAACUCACCGGGGGUUCGAAUCCCUCUCCCUCCG
RNAcentral lists this transfer RNA (85 nucleotides) under Ornatilinea apprima. It matches the Rfam family "tRNA". From Rfam's summary of the family: Transfer RNA (tRNA) molecules are approximately 80 nucleotides in length. RNAcentral also lists the same sequence under 1 other name. The record is from Rfam by way of RNAcentral. Lineage: Bacteria; Bacillati; Chloroflexota; Anaerolineae; Anaerolineales; Anaerolineaceae.